Zonotrichia leucophrys gambelii is the source of this 754-nucleotide long non-coding RNA. RefSeq lists it as uncharacterized. The transcript is spliced from 3 exons. The record is from RefSeq and is a predicted model, not a curated record. Lineage: Eukaryota; Metazoa; Chordata; Aves; Passeriformes; Passerellidae.
CUCACUUCCAACUACGUGGCAUUUUGGAGGAGCUCCACAUGGCUGUGGGCACCCAGCAUUGGCAGGGGUUGAUUGCCAGCCUCUGGCACCCUGUGGCCAGCCUUUCCUUGCCUUUCCAGGUCCUGUGGUGUCAGCCCUGGGACCCUACCCCACAGACCCAACACCCUGGUGGGCAGGUGAGAGCCAGCCCAGCCAGCUCUCUACCUGUUUUGGCUGAGUCCUGGUAGUGGCUGGAGUUGUUCUCCAGGGAACUGAUGACAGAACCAAUGAAAGACAUCUUUCUUACCCUGUAAUCUGGAAAAAUCAAACCUUUCCGGUGAAGUCUCCCCUUCUGUUGAAAGACUUUGUGAGAUUUGCACAAAUGAGUGUGUGAAAGGGAAAGGCCUCACAGCAAAGCUGCCAGGACUAUACUGGUCCUUCGAAUUUAGGAGCCGAGUCCUCUGCACUUGGUGAUGGAAUAAAGUUUUCUCCAGGAUUCCUGUUUUAUGAAUGUGAGAGUCAGACCAGACAGACAGACCUCUUUUGACUUGGGUGAUCUGAGUACAACCAUAUUGGAGUUGAGAACUGUUUGUCCAUUCACUAAACUUGAUUUUGGGUGUGAGGAAUGAAGAACUGUUGUUUCCUAAAUCCAAGCAGAGGAGAUCUACAGGACACCUGGUGGAACUGGUAGGAGAUGAGUUUAAUGGACUUUUAAAAAAAAAAUCUGUGAUGGGUAUUUAUGCAACAGGUAGUGAAUUUCUGCUGUCACCCAGCA